GCCGGGAUAGCUCAAUUGGUAGAGCAGCGGGUUUAUAACCCGUAACGACAGAUAAUCGGCUGAUAAAGGUUCAAAUCCUUUUCCCGGUA
This 89-nucleotide transfer RNA is filed under the name Bacteroidota bacterium. RNAcentral's name for it is "Bacteroidetes bacterium (marine metagenome) tRNA-Ile". It matches the Rfam family "tRNA". From Rfam's summary of the family: Transfer RNA (tRNA) molecules are approximately 80 nucleotides in length. Their secondary structure includes four short double-helical elements and three loops (D, anti-codon, and T loops). Lineage: Bacteria; Pseudomonadati; Bacteroidota. The record is from RNAcentral.